GAUGAACGCUGGCGGCGUGCCUAAUACAUGCCAGUCGAGCGAACGGACGAGAAGCUUGCUUUUCUGAUGUUAGCGGCGGACGGGUGAGUAACACGUGGAUAACCUACCUAUAAGACUGGGAUAACUUCGGGAAACCGGAGCUAAUACCGGAUAAUAUUUUGAACCGCAUGGUUCAAAAGUGAAAGACGGUCUUGCUGUCACUUAUAGAUGGAUCCGCGCUGCAUUAGCUAGUUGGUAAGGUAACGGCUUACCAAGGCAACGAUGCAUAGCCGACCUGAGAGGGUGAUCGGCCACACUGGAACUGAGACACGGUCCAGACUCCUACGGGAGGCAGCAGUAGGGAAUCUACCGCAAUGGGCGAAAGCCUGACGGAGCAACGCCGCGUGAGUGAUGAAGGUCUUCGGAUCGUAAAACUCUGUUAUUAGGGAAGAACAUAUGUGUAAGUAACUGUGCACAUCUUGACGGUACCUAAUCAGAAAGCCACGGCUAACUACGUG
RNAcentral lists this ribosomal RNA (497 nucleotides) under uncultured bacterium. Its description in RNAcentral is "partial 16S ribosomal RNA". It matches the Rfam family "Bacterial small subunit ribosomal RNA", at positions 28 to 507 of the family's 1533-position model. The record is from RNAcentral.